Molecule: long non-coding RNA, 411 nt
Organism: Alligator mississippiensis (American alligator)
Lineage: Eukaryota; Metazoa; Chordata; Crocodylia; Alligatoridae
Exons: 3
Source: RefSeq, a predicted model, not a curated record
GUGUGGCAGAGCACCUCUGGUAUCUGCCACUGUAAGAGCCUGAAGAGGCAACCGCCAGGUGCGGCCCAGCUCUGACAAGCAGCCAUUUUAAGAUUCAGGCCAGCAGAGCUGGAGGCAGCACUUGGCUGACUGGCACCAAGGAAGCAACAUCUGGUGGAGCUGCUGCUCUGGUAACACAAGGAGAUCCCAUCCAGAUCCAGCUUGCGAGGCCAUGUUACCUGGCCUGUGGAACGGUGAUAGUGUUAAUUGCUGUUCUGUUGCUGCCAAACUUCCAGACCUGUGGAAAUUUCCAAAUCAGAUGAUGUGGCUCAUCAUGGUAGAUCAUGCUGACUAUUGAUCUCUGGUUAAGAUGAUGUGUUCCCAACAGUGUCCCACUUAUGCUGAAAACCGAGUGUGACAUCACAUGACUCA